AGCGAACGGUGGCGGCGUGGAUUAGGCAUGCAAGUCGGACGCGAACGGAGAGCUUGCUCUCCUAUUAGAGUGGCGAACGGGUGAGUAAUGUAUGGAUGACCUACCUCGGACUCUGGGACAACCGCUGGAAACGGUGGCUAAUACCGGAUGGUCCUGGCGAUUCAUUUUGCCAGGUAAAGAUACUUGUAUUGGUCCGUGAGGGAUCCAUAUCCCAUCAGCUUGUUGGCGGGGUAAUGGCCCACCAAGGCAACGACGGGUAGCCGGACUGAGAGGUCGACCGGCCACAUCGGGACUGAGACACUGCCCGGACUCCUACGGGAGGCUGCAGUCGAGAAUCUUCCGCAACGGGCGCAAGCCUGACGGAGCGACGCCGCGUGAAGGAUGACGGCCUCGGUUGUAACGUUACUGUC
Molecule: ribosomal RNA, 410 nt
Filed under: uncultured bacterium
Lineage: Bacteria
Description: bacterial SSU rRNA
Rfam family: Bacterial small subunit ribosomal RNA
Source: RNAcentral